This 494-nucleotide ribosomal RNA is filed under the name Hepatozoon sp. RNAcentral's name for it is "bacterial SSU rRNA". It matches the Rfam family "Eukaryotic small subunit ribosomal RNA", at positions 382 to 869 of the family's 1831-position model. The record is from RNAcentral. Lineage: Eukaryota; Apicomplexa; Hepatozoidae.
UCCGGAGAGGGAGCCUGAGAAACGGCUACCACAUCUAAGGAAGGCAGCAGGCGCGCAAAUUACCCAAUUCUAACAGUUUGAGAGAGGUAGUAACAAGAAAUAACAAUACAAGGCAGUUAAAAUGCUUUGUAAUUGGAAUGAUAGAAAUUUAAACCCUUUUUAAAGUAUCAAUUGGAGGGCAAGUCUGGUGCCAGCAGCCGCGGUAAUUCCAGCUCCAAUAGCGUAUAUUAAAAUUGUUGCAGUUAAAAAGCUCGUAGUUGAAGUUCUGCUGAAAGUAACCGGUCUGCUUUUAAUAAAAGUGGUAUCUUGGUAUGUAUUUAGCAAUGAUGUCCUUUGAAGUGUUUUUUACUUUAUUGUAAUAAAGCAUAUUCAGGACUUUUACUUUGAGAAAAUUAGAGUGUUUCUAGCAGGCUGACGCUUUGAAUACUGCAGCAUGGAAUAAUAAGAUAGGAUUUUAGUUCUACAUUAUUGGUUUUAAGAGCUAAAUUAAUGAU